UACGUAGGUGGCAAGCGUUAUCCGGAUUUACUGGGUGUAAAAGGUGAGUAGGCGGGUCUGCAAGUCAGGUGUGAAAUACUGCGGCUCAACCGCAGAAUUGCAUUUGAAACUACGGAUCUUGAGUGUCGGAGAGGUAAUUGGAAUUCCCAGUGUAGCGGUGAAAUGCGCAGAUAUCAGGAGGAACACCAAUGGCGAAGGCAGGUCUCUGGGCAGUAACUGACGCUGAGGAGCGAAAGCAUGGGUAGCGAACAGGA
Molecule: ribosomal RNA, 254 nt
Filed under: uncultured prokaryote
Description: partial 16S ribosomal RNA
Rfam family: Bacterial small subunit ribosomal RNA
Source: RNAcentral